RNAcentral lists this ribosomal RNA (465 nucleotides) under uncultured bacterium. RNAcentral's name for it is "partial 16S ribosomal RNA". It matches the Rfam family "Bacterial small subunit ribosomal RNA", at positions 28 to 507 of the family's 1533-position model. The record is from RNAcentral.
GACGAACGCUGGCGGCGUGCUUAACACAUGCAAGUCGAACGGAAAGGCCCCCUUUUGGGGUACUCGAGUGGCGAACGGGUGAGUAACACGCGAGUAACCUACCUUUGACUGUGGGAUAACUUCAGGAAACUGGGGCUAAUACCGCAUAGGAGCUCCUGCUGCAUGGUGGGGGUUGGAAAGUUUCGGCGGAUGGGGUUGGGCUCGCGGGUUAUCGGCUGGUUGGUGGGGUAGUGGCUCACCAGGGGACGGACGGAUAGUCGUCAUGGGAGGGGGACCGGCCACAUUGGGACUGAGGUACGGCGCAGACGCCUAUGGGGGGCAGCGGUGGAGAGUAUUACACAGUGAGGGGGAGCCUGAGGCAGAGACGCCGCGUGCGGGAUGACGGCCUUCGUGUUGUAAACCGCUUUCGCCUGUGACGAAGCGUGAGUGACGGUAAUGGGUGAAGAAGCACCGGCUAACUACGUG